This 252-nucleotide ribosomal RNA is filed under the name uncultured bacterium. Its description in RNAcentral is "partial 16S ribosomal RNA". It matches the Rfam family "Bacterial small subunit ribosomal RNA", at positions 524 to 775 of the family's 1533-position model. The record is from RNAcentral.
CACGUAGGAGGCGAGCGUUGUCCGGAAUCAUUGGGCGUAAAGAGCGCGCAGGCGGCCCGGCAAGUCGGGUGUGAAAUCCCGGGGCUCAACCCCGGGACUGCAUUCGAUACUGCCGGGCUAGAGGUAGGUAGGGGAGAUCGGAAUUCCUGGUGUAGCGGUGAAAUGCGCCAGAUAUCGGAGGAACACCUAUGGCGAAGGCAGCUCGCUGGGACGUUACUGACGCUGAGACGCGAAAGCGUGGGGAGCAACAGG